AAAAACCUAUGUUUGCCAUCAAGGAAAAGAUCUGAAUAAACGUCAAAAGGAAAAUUAUGCUAAAGAAAAAAAAUGAAAAGUGUCAAACUGAUCAUGCUUUUGGUAAAGCAUAUUCCAAGAACCAGACAACUAAAAAAGUUAAUUGUCCAGCUGUAAUUAAUGUUACCCGAAUGUACAGGAUGCCUCAGUUCAAGAUGCCCUAGAGGAGUUGCAUGGUAUCUAAAAUUUCUGUGAAACACAGUUUGAAAACCUUCAGACUACUCGAAAACUUCAGAUUAUGUGAAAAAAGAAAUGUAGAUGUAAAGAGCAGUGAUUAAAAAGUUUUAAUGACCAAAA
RNAcentral lists this long non-coding RNA (336 nucleotides) under Stegodyphus dumicola. RNAcentral describes it as "uncharacterized LOC118205834". Lineage: Eukaryota; Metazoa; Arthropoda; Arachnida; Araneae; Eresidae. The record is from RNAcentral.